RNAcentral lists this ribosomal RNA (631 nucleotides) under uncultured bacterium. RNAcentral's name for it is "bacterial SSU rRNA". It matches the Rfam family "Bacterial small subunit ribosomal RNA", at positions 9 to 644 of the family's 1533-position model. The record is from RNAcentral.
GAGUUUGAUCCUGGCUCAGAGCGAACGCUGGCGGCGUGCUUAACACAUGCAAGUCGAACGGCCUUCGGGUAGCAAUACUCGAGGGUAGUGGCGAACGGGUGAGUAACACGUGGGUAAUCUCCACCCGAGUGAGGAAUAAGCUUGCGAAAGCGGGUCUAAUACCGCAUAAAGCUUCGGGACAUCAGUCUUCGAAGCCAAAGCCGUAAGGCGCUUGGGGAUGAGCCUGCGUCCUAUUAGCUAGUUGGUAGGGUAAUGGCCUACCAAGGCGAUGAUGGGUAGCCGGCCUGAGAGGGUGAACGGCCACACUGGAACUGAGACACGGUCCAGACUCCUACGGGAGGCAGCAGUGAGGAAUUUUGCGCAAUGGGCGAAAGCCUGACGCAGCGACGCCGCGUGGAGGAAGACGGCCUUCGGGUUGUAAACUCCUGUCAGAGGUGAAGAAUGCCCGCAAGGGCUUGACGGUAACCUCAGAGGAAGCCCCGGCUAACUACGUGCCAGCAGCCGCGGUAAUACGUAGGGGGCGAGCGUUGCUCGGAAUUACUGGGCGUAAAGGGAGUGCAGGCGGCCGGUUAAGUCGAAGAUGAAAUCCCGAGGCUCAACUUCGGAACGGUCUUCGAUACUGAUCGGCUUG